CCUGGCUCAGGACGAACGCUGGCGGCGUGCUUAACACAUGCAAGUCGAGCGGUAAGGCCCUUCGGGGUACACGAGCGGCGAACGGGUGAGUAACACGUGAGCAACCUGCCCCUGACUCUGGGAUAAGCGGUGGAAACGCCGUCUAAUACCGGAUACGACCCGCCACCUCAUGGUGGAGGGUGGAAAGUUUUUCGGUCAGGGAUGGGCUCGCGGCCUAUCAGCUUGUUGGUGGGGUAACGGCCUACCAAGRCGAUUACGGGUAGGCCGGCCUGUAGAGGGCGACCGGCCACACUGGGACUGAGACACGGCCCAGACUCCUGCGGGAGGCAGCAGUGGGGAAUAUUGCGCAAUGGGCGAAAGCCUGACGCAGCGACGCCGCGUGGGGGAUGACGGCCUUCGGGUUGUAAACCUCUUUUACCACCAACGCAGGCUCGAAGUUCUCUUCGGGUUGACGGUAGGUGGGGAAUAAGGACCGGCUAAMCACGUGCCAGCAGCCGCGGUAAUACGUAGGGUCCGAGCGUUGUCCGGAAUUAUUGGGCGUAAAGAGCUCGUAGGCGGCGUGUCACGUCUGCUGUGAAAGAACCGGGGCUUAACUCCGGUUCUGCAGUGGAUACGGGCAUGCUAGAGGUAGGUAGGGGAGACUGGAAUUCCUGGUGUAGCGGUGAAAUGCGCAGAUAUCAGGAGGAACACCGGUGGCGAAGGCGGGUCUCUGGGCCUUACCUGACGCUGAGGAGCGAAAGCAUGGGGAGCGAACAGGAUUAGAUACCCUGGUAGUCCAUGCCGUAAACGUUGGGCGCUAGGUGUGGGGACUUUCCACGGUUUCCGCACCGUAGCUAACGCAUUAAGCGCCCCGCCUGGGGAGUACGGCCGCAAGGCUAAAACUCAAAGGAAUUGACGGGGGCCCGCACAAGCGGCGGAGCAUGUUGCUUAAUUCGACGCAACGCGAAGAACCUUACCAAGGUUUGACAUCACCCGUGGACUCGCAGAGAUGUGAGGUCAUUUAGUUGGCGGGUGACGGGUGGUGCAUGGCUGUCGUCAGCUCGUGUCGUGAGAUGUUGGGUUAAGUCCCGCAACGAGCGCAACCCUUGUUCCAUGUUGCCAGCACGUAAUGKUGGGGACUCAUGGGAGACUGCCGGGGUCAACUCGGAGGAAGKUGGGGAUGACGUCAAGUCAUCAUGCCCCUUAUGUCUUKGGCUGCAAACAUGCUMCAAUGGCCGGUACAAUGGGCGUGCGACACCGUAAGGUGGAGCGAAUCCCUAAAAGCCGGUCUCAGUUCGGAUUGGGGUCUGCAACUCGACCCCAUGAAGGUGGAGUCGCUAGUAAUCGCGGAUCAGCAACGCCGCGGUGAAUACGUUCCCGGGCCUUGUACACACCGCCCGUCACGUCAUGAAAGUCGGCAACACCCGAAACUUGCGGCCUAACCCCUUGUGGGAGGGAGUGAGUGAAGGUGGGGCUGGCGAUUGGGACGAAGUCGUAACAAGGUAGCCG
Molecule: ribosomal RNA, 1488 nt
Filed under: Nocardiopsis sp. KLBMP 1109
Lineage: Bacteria; Bacillati; Actinomycetota; Actinomycetes; Streptosporangiales; Nocardiopsidaceae
Description: bacterial SSU rRNA
Rfam family: Bacterial small subunit ribosomal RNA
Source: RNAcentral